UACGUAGGGAGCAAGCGUUGUUCGGAUUUACUGGGCGUAAAGGGCGCGUAGGCGGCCUGUCAAGUCAACUGUGAAAUCUCCGGGCUUAACUCGGAACGGUCAGUUGAUACUGUCAGGCUAGAGUGCAGAAAGGGCAAUCGGAAUUCUUGGUGUAGCGGUGAAAUGCGUAGAUAUCAAGAGGAACACCUGAGGCGAAGGCGGGUUGCUAGGCUGACACUGACGCUGAGGCGCGAAAGCCAGGGGAGCAAACAGG
Molecule: ribosomal RNA, 253 nt
Filed under: uncultured bacterium
Lineage: Bacteria
Description: partial 16S ribosomal RNA
Rfam family: Bacterial small subunit ribosomal RNA
Source: RNAcentral